Molecule: small nucleolar RNA, 107 nt
Organism: Hevea brasiliensis (rubber tree)
Lineage: Eukaryota; Viridiplantae; Streptophyta; Magnoliopsida; Malpighiales; Euphorbiaceae
Source: RefSeq, a predicted model, not a curated record
AUGUCAUGGUGUGGACAUUCUCUUUAUAAGUCCUUGUAUCGCUCCCAUGCAUCAUAGAGUGAUUCACCUUCCCUUUGCUUAAAGGUAUUGAGUUCAAUCCUCAACUU